AUCUUGCCGUUUCGCGAUUUUUUGUUGGUCGCACCAGCUUUCCGGCGAUAAUUCGUAAUCCUGUCUUCUUGGAGUAUCGGGAAUCGUGCCGUCGCCGGUACUGAUUUGGUAAAACAGACCAUAUCAAAUAGUUGCUCCGAAAGUUCGUUUGUUUAAGGUCUUGUACACUCUGGUCACCAAAAGCAGCGGUUUCAAAACCUUCCGGUGGUACAUACCGUUCGGCUUAUGACUAUGACAGGACCACAUUCAAGAAGUCGCAGUCGGAAAAAUUUAGCUGCUGCCACUGGCUCGACCAGACGCACCUUAAAAAUAGUCAAUCAGAAACGAACAUUUCCUCGGCAAAUUCUUCGAUGGUGCCAAGUCGCCCGGCGAGCUAACGGGAGUCCGCUUCGACCGGUAGACAUGGAGCUUUCGCCCGAGCGGCUAGGUCACUUUCGCUGCCGCUCGUUGCUGGAGGCUGCUUGCGCUUCGCGUGCAGCCUUUACAUGUUCCGCUCCAGCGUGGCGUCGCGCAGUGACUCCGUUGAGCCACUGAGUUCGACGAGGAAGACGUUUUAAGAAAAACGAGAACGCGAGGCCAAUCUGAAGCACAAGCCGGAUGUUGCCAAGCAGCACAUGCCGCUGCGACACACGAAGCCAUCCAAAACUUGCUCCUCGAAUGACUAUGCCAACUGUCGCUGAGUUGCCAAGAGGUAGUGCAUUCGGAAGACAAUUUUAUGUAAAAAAAAUUGAAAUGAAUUGUUAAGCACGAAUAAAAAGCUACGCCAAAUA
Long non-coding RNA from Culex pipiens pallens (northern house mosquito), 770 nucleotides. RefSeq lists it as uncharacterized. NCBI's taxonomy places the organism in Eukaryota, Metazoa, Arthropoda, Insecta, Diptera, Culicidae. The transcript has 2 exons. The record is from RefSeq and is a predicted model, not a curated record.